UGACGGUACUUGACUAAGAAGCUCCGGCUAAAUACGUGCCAGCAGCCGCGGUAAUACGUAUGGAGCAAGCGUUAUCCGGAUUUACUGGGUGUAAAGGGAGCGUAGACGGCAAAGCAAGUCUGAAGUGAAAUCCCGGGGCUCAACCCCGGAACUGCUUUGGAAACUGUUUAGCUAGAGUGCAGGAGAGGUAAGCGGAAUUCCUAGUGUAGCGGUGAAAUGCUUAGAUAUGUGAUAGAACCCCGAUUGCGAAGGCAGCUUACCAGCAUACAACUGACGCUGAGGCACGAAAGCGUGGGUAUCAAACAGGAUUAGAUACCCUG
Molecule: ribosomal RNA, 320 nt
Filed under: uncultured bacterium
Lineage: Bacteria
Description: bacterial SSU rRNA
Rfam family: Bacterial small subunit ribosomal RNA
Source: RNAcentral